UGGAACCAAACUAAUGGCUUCCAAGAGGCAGUCUCUUGUUUUGCUGGUUCUCUUUCUUUUUGCGUUGCUUUCUGCUGAAGCAUUGCCCAGAAAGCUAGGGAAUGCUUCGGGUCUUCAUUUAUAUUCACAGGAGGGAAGGAUACUUGCCACUCAGGCAUCUGGCAAUCGAUGUUUGCAGAGAUUCACAUCACGUGAUAAUCCUCGUUGCCACAAUUAUUAACAAUAAUAAUAAAUUAAUAAUACUAUAAUGCUUAUGAUCUAUUUAUAAAUUCAUUGUCUAAAUAGUUAUUUUGUAAAUUGUAAUGUUAUAACAAACCCAAAGGGCUCCACACCUGCUUGUUUCAAAUUAUAUACCAAAUGUUAAUAUUUUCGAAGAGUUCUUUAAUUAUUUACGAAGCUCCCACACUUUAAAAUUAAAUAUAAACGUGCCAGCAGGGUUCAAUACCUGUCUGAUACGGUUUCUUUAUGAGACACGUUAAUAUUCUACUAUUUUUAUUAUCAUAUUUUUUCAUUAAAACAUAUUUAUAUUACUUAAAAACUUAAAGAAGUAAUAUUUUAAUGGGUAAAUGAGUAAAUUACUCUUGAACUUUAGGUCUAGUAACACUAUAGACCUUGAAACUCAUUUAUUGUGCAAAUUUUUCUUUCAACUUUUGAAAAUGGUGUAGUCUAACAUAUGUCAUUAAUAAAAGUUAACUUUAACCAUUCAUUAAAAAAAUGAUAUUACAGAGAAAAGGUUGGAUCCUUUAUUGCAAUUUUUUGAUCUUUUUUUAUAAUUUUUGAGAUCAUUUUCUAGUUAACUAAUGGUCAAAGUUAAGUUUUGUUAAUGGUAGAGGUUAGAUUGCACAAUUUUCAAAAGUUGAGAGAACAAUUUUGCACAAUAAACAACUUCAGGGUCUAUGGUGCUACUUAAUUUAAAGCUUAGGGGAUAAUUUGCUGAUUUACACUAUUUUAAUUUGGCUAUAAAUAUGUUUACAUUACUUUACAAAUUCUUAUUUAAGAUCAUACUUUACUUCACUCUUUGCUUGCAGCUUUAUCCUCUUUUAUUUAAAUUCAAUUAAAACGUUGUGCUAUGAACAUUAAAACUUUAGUUAUUAUAAAUUGACUCCGUCAAAUAUAAAAUAUCCGGUCCAUCGACGACCAGCAAAUGCGAAGAAUGCUAAUUAAGAAUAUAAAUAUUGUAUUCAUCAUGGAUUCAUAACACAAUUAAAGUCAUUCAACACGGAAACUGGGUGACGACCUGAUGGAAUCACUCAUCAAUAUUAUAAUUUCAGACAAUUUGAACUCAUUGAUCUUUUAAUUUUAAUUGUUUAAUGUGUUCAUUGAAAUAAUUAUUUAUCCUAUUUUUAAAAUUUUAUUUUUACGUACAGAAAAUAUAAGACCGAAUAAUCGGUCAAAAUUUAACCUAAACUAGCAUAUCUUACACAUCUUUAUUUAUCUAGACUCUCAUUACAAAAUCUAUUGAAACAUGGCUCACGGGUCAAAAUUGAAGUCAUGAACAAUCACACGCGUUAAGGAAUCAAAACAAUUAUAAAUAUUGAUGAAAUUAGAGUAAAUUAAUAAAAAGUUUAUGUGAGCUUUUAUUAAAAUUAUAUAAGUGCUUAUUGUUAAAACUAAAAAGCAAAAACUCCAAUUAUUAGAGUAUAACACAAGAAGUCUCACAUCUGAACGUAAUAAAAAAAACGAGGGGUAUAUGAACUUGUUUAAGCUAUUUUAGUAUAAUUUUUUUUGACCAAAUUUGAGUAUAAUAGCUGAGUCCAAACACAAUGAAAUACAAAAAUUAAACACCCAUGAGCCUUAGGAAAAUUACACAAACCUUUUUCUAAUUUUUAGAACCAACUUAUCUUACAAACAAAAUGAAGCAAACUUCGUCAAAAAAAAUAUAGAUUUUAAUAAUUGAUGACAUAUUUGUGUAAUUUAAUUUAACAAAGUUCUCGAGAAAUAUUUUUGUAUAAACUUUUAACCUACUUUGAAGGAUACUCCCUUCGUUUAAAAAUGUAACGCAUUUUAAUCGAAUCUCACUUCUUAAUAAAGUAGUUAUUUAUUUUUCAACUAACCCUAUCUUUUCAUAUUUACCCCUAUUAAACACUUUAUAGUAAAUAUAAAGUCAUUAUCAAUAAGGACACUUUUGGAAAAAAAGACAAUGAUUAUACCUCAAAAAACUAAAAAUGUUUUAUAUUUUUGAACAUCUAAUUCUUAAAAAAUGCCUUAUAUUUUUAAACGGAGGGAGUAGCUUUUAUGGAUUUUAAAAAUUGAAAAAGAUGUCUAUAUUUAGAGUUUAAAAAAAGAGUAAAAACUUAUAAGAGUAAGAGUAAUUUGGUUCUUAUUUAAAAGUAAAAAUGUAGAUUUUUUUCCCUUUGGUUACGUUGUGAUUUAAAAAUAAACCAGGUAUCAGCGUGAAUAAAAUUCAUGAGAAGCGGGAGCAAAUCUGUUAAAUAAUAACAAUUACUUCUUCUAGAAUUUCUUGCAAGAGUCUUUUUUUUUUUUAAAGUUAAAAAUUUCCCAUUGUUCCUUGCAUUUGUUAAAAAUUUCCUUGUUUUUCCUUUGAAAAAAAAAAUUUCAAAUGUAUGUAUUAUAUGUGCGAAACAAGUAUUUGUUUCUUAUGAAGAAGUGCUGAGGGAGUACAUCAGAACAUCAGCCCCUAGAGUUAGAUUGGAAUCAAAGACUGUGUGAAAGAAUCAAUCCGCACUUUCUGACCAAAGCAUCGAUUAUACAUAUUGAAAUAUCAAAGAAAUGUAAAACUAAUGACUGAAAGUCCAAAACUACGCACCCACUGACUUUAAUUUGUGUUAUAAAUUGAUUGAUUGAAUUUAUGAGCAUUGUGAAAUACAGAUAUCGAGCCUAUCUGUAAUGGCUUUCAAAAGGCAGUCUCAUAUUUUGGAGGUUCUCUUUCUUUUUGCGUUGCUUCUUUCUGCUGAAGCAUUGGCUAGAAAUCUUGGUGGUACUUCUGAUCUUCAAAUGUCUUCACAUGAGGGAAGGAUACUUGCCAACAGAGCACCAGGCAACCGAUGUUUGAUAGGCGAAGGACACCCACCUAAAGAUGCUCCUCGUUGCCACAAUUAUUAAUAACAUAUUAACAAUGAAAUUGUUGUGGGAAAAGAAAGAUAUUAAUUAUUAAGAACCAAGUAAACAGUUAUUUAGUUAUCUUUGUAAUAUUAUAUGCUUGUGUUUCAAAUUAUUUUAUGAGAAUUAUGGAA
Molecule: long non-coding RNA, 3194 nt
Organism: Prosopis cineraria
Lineage: Eukaryota; Viridiplantae; Streptophyta; Magnoliopsida; Fabales; Fabaceae
Exons: 3
Source: RefSeq, a predicted model, not a curated record